AUAUGACAGUAGAUAAGCUGCUUAGGAGAAGGGGCAUAGGUUGGCAUCUGUUGAAAGCAAGCGAGGAACUAAUUUCUCAAAUGAGUUCUUCUAGAGAGGUUUACUUGCACUGUCGAAUGAUUGAUACUGCUCCACUCAACAUGUAUAGAAAAGCUGGAUAUACCAUUGUUGAGACAGACAACAUUUUUAUCUUGUUGGCAUUGCAGCGACG
Molecule: unclassified non-coding RNA, 211 nt
Filed under: Hevea brasiliensis (rubber tree)
Lineage: Eukaryota; Viridiplantae; Streptophyta; Magnoliopsida; Malpighiales; Euphorbiaceae
Source: RNAcentral